GUAAGGAGUUUUCGGCAAUGGGGGGAACCCUGACCGAGCAACGCCGCGUGAGUGAUGACGGCCCUAUGGGUUGUAAAGCUCUGUUAUAAGGGACGAACAGCUUUGCUAGGAAAUGAGCAGAGUCUGACGGUACUUUAUCAGAAAGCCACGGCUAACUACGUGCCAGCAGCCGCGGUAAUACGUAGGUGGCAAGCGUUAUCCGGAAUUAUUGGGCGUAAAGAGUGAGCAGGCGGCAGAUUAAGUUUGAGGUUAAAGCGUGGGGCUCAACCCCAUAAAGCCUUGAAAACUGAUCAGCUAGAGUACGAGAGAUGUGAAGGGAACUCCAUGUGUAGCGGUGAAAUGCGUAGAUAUAUGGAAGAACACCAGUGGCGAAGGCGCUUCACAAGCUCGAAACUGACGCUCAGUCACGAAAGCGUGGGUAGCAAAUAGGAUUAGAUACCCGAGUAGUCC
This 450-nucleotide ribosomal RNA is filed under the name uncultured bacterium. RNAcentral's name for it is "partial 16S ribosomal RNA". It matches the Rfam family "Bacterial small subunit ribosomal RNA", at positions 354 to 796 of the family's 1533-position model. The record is from RNAcentral.